RNAcentral lists this long non-coding RNA (1385 nucleotides) under Solanum tuberosum (potato). RNAcentral's name for it is "long non-coding RNA (STUB_LNC007839)". The record is from RNAcentral. Lineage: Eukaryota; Viridiplantae; Streptophyta; Magnoliopsida; Solanales; Solanaceae.
CGUAUUUUAAUAUUUAUUAUACUCCCAUAUUCUGAAAAAAUUAUAUACUACCGUGCUCUAAUAUUUAUAUACUACUAUAUUUUAUUAUUUAUUAUACUACCACUCAAAUGAAAGAGUUGCUAGGAGACGAACCUUAACAAAAUAAUUUAAAUUAUUCUAGACACAAGCCAUUUAAUUCUAAAUGGAGGACAACCUAGUUCAUGCGCUGGAAACAAAAUAAAUAAAUACUCAAUGUUUAAAUAUCAUAAGUAUCCCAUAAAACCCAAGUAAUCAAAUACUUAGCCAAUAAAAAAAAUAUAAAGCAAGAAUAAGGCAUUUUAAGGAGAAGUCUAAACAUGUCAUUAGAAUAAUCAAUGGCAAGAGACCAUUUGGAACUAAUAUUAACCAACAAGAAAAAUAAAGGUUUGGUCAAAUGAACUCUUUACAGUAAGGUACCAAGUAAUCAUUCAAGAACAACAUACGGGAAUAAAUAAUAACCAACUUACGAAACCCAUAGAGAGAUAUGUCAAGAGCACAUUGUUAACUUAAGUCAAAAUGAAAGUCAUAUUCGCAUGGAGCUAUGGAGAAUCACAGAUUAUAACGGGGCCUUCUAUCACAAAAUGGAUACAUAGAUGAAGGGGUGACUAAGAUAAUAACUAAAUUCCCAGAUUUCAGACCAUUUAAACAGCACCAAAGCGAACCAAGCUAUGUUUAAAAAAUACAGAUUCCAAAUGGACGUGAACAGAUUCAUAAAGCCAAGGUAGUGAAUAAUGAAUGACUCAAGAGGAUGUGCAGAGGGAAACCUCCAUCAAAACUGGAUAUGAACAGAUCUAUAAACAUUUUAUUUUUACUUUUUUUUAAGAAUCCAACUCCGACAAAAAUCAACUCAUAUUCAUAAGAAGCCAAAUAUACAACGGCCUAAUGCAUUUCGACAUUUUCUAAACACAUAAUGAAGGCAUGAAUGUGAUUUCAACAGAAUGACAACAAUGCGAUUCCGAUGCAAUUAUCAAAUGGGUAAACCAAAGUUGAGACGAACAUAAUCAGCCGAGAACUUCAAGAACAUCCAUAGCAGAGGAAACGAGCUCAAACAGGCGUAAAAUCACUUUGAAAUACAAAAUACACAUACUAGUUUCGGAAAGAUUAUGAUGAAGAGAAAGCUUAGGCUCAAAGCAAAUCACUUAAAAUCAGUUCAUAAAGACAAAUCAGUUCAUAAAAACAACGAAUAUUUUCAUGAUUCAACAUUCGUUGGAAUCGGAAUGAAGGAAGGAAAAAGGCCGAGAGUUGUUUACCUUUCGAUGAGCAGCGACUGGAUACAAACGAGCAAGAAGGCGAGUUUUCCCACACAAGCGCGAGCCGGACAGAAAGCACGAGACCUGGGCAGCGAUCCGAGCAGCCACCCGAGUUCG